CUAAUUUGUAUUAUGAAAUAUAAUGUGUUCUCUUUUUAUUUUAUUGAAAUGCUUUAAAACUUAAGAUCAGAGCUGGGUUAACAAUAUUUUCCAAGUAAAACACCAUCAAGUACAAAUAUUACCAAGGACCUCCAAGUUCCUUGUUAAGUGCCCUAUACAUUUACAUGAAAAGGGAUUUUUAAAAGUUUCCUCUAUUCCUUACUCCCCACUCAGUGCUGGUUAAUUAACCAAUCAUAAAGAAAAGAUGAAAGUAUGUGAACCUCAAAUCCUUGUGUUCUGGAAAAAAAACAUACUCACAGAAUAAUGAAAAAAAAUUUCAACUAAUGAGAACCAGGAACAAUGACCACUGGAAAUAAUGAAAACAGUUGGAUCAAACAGCUACAAGUAAAGCACUUGGAAUGGUAGAGUGCUUCCCUCAAUGGAUGGAAGGAGACUGGAUCCCUCUGACACUGACUGGAAGAGCUCUGCUAAGCAAAGCUGCGAGCUCAUGAAAGACUGUGAGGAGAGUAAGAGGUAACCUUUUAUUGUGUUAAGUCAUUAAUGUCAGGGUUUACUUGUUACUACAGCAUGGCUUCCUCUAACACCUCCUCUUAUCAACUGCCUUUUCUGAGUCUUUCCUUGACUCAUGAUUUUGAGUUAACUUAGUAAACUUACCAAAGGCUGACUUUGCACCAAGAAUCAUUAUAGGUACUGGAAAAUUUAAAAGAUGAAGGAGGUGGAGUCAUUUUUUCCUAAGGAGCUGGGAGAGGAGAUAAGAAAUGGGAUCAAAUAAUGAACAACAAGUUUCAAAGGGAUCAGAGUCCAAUAAAACCUGCCGCCUGAGCUCUUAAGAGAGAAAUGGAAAUCGUAGUUGUGAACAUCAGGCUUUCUAGAAGUGGCUGUACCAACAUCAGCCUUGAAAGAGCUCAAUCCAGCAGAUCCUGUCCCACUUGGAACCUGGCUAUGAGUGAGAAAACAUCUGUGGUUGGAAAAUGGGGCUGGUGAUUCAGGCCUGUUUGGGAAGAAGAUGCUCUUGAAUGCUUUGCUCAACAAACACCUCCCUUCUGCAAGGAGGUGAGAGGUCAUCUGUCUGUCUACUUUGACACUUUCACCCACUGAACUUCAGGGCUUAAGACACCUUCCCCAUAAAUUGGAGUGAGCGCGGCACAAACUGUCCCUGAAUUUGACCAUAACUGACUCACCAAAGGUCUGAGUAGGGGAGAAGGCAAAAACAGACAAACAGGCACUGAGGACUUUGCCAUCCCAGACCUGUGUCAUGUAAACAGGCUGUCUGCUUCACAGCCAAGGAAUGAGCCCUGGACGUGGGUCGGAACUGGAGCCUUAACAGCUAAUACCCAGAGCCUUUGACUGUGGACGACUGUGUUCAAAGGGGCAGGCUGCCCACUACUAGGGCAUGGAGGAGAGGCAGGAUGUGGGGAAAGAGUGUGGUUUUGGAAUCAGACACAACUGGUCCCCGCCACUUACUCAGCCUUGUGACCUCAGAUGAAAAAGUCUCUUAUUCUUACUAAGGCUCAGUUUCCCCAACUGUGAAACUGACAUAACACUAUGGACUUCAAAAGGCUUUACAAGCAAAACAAUUUAUAAAACAAUUUAUUCAACAAUUUAUUCAGGCACUUAGCACAGUGCUAGCACAUAGAUAUAAGUAACAGUUUUUUUUCUCUGUUCCUUCUACGUGGAGGAGAGGCAUCUGUUGUCUCUUCAAGUUAAUUAAUUUGAAAAUAUCCAGUAGCAACCAUUUCUUAAAUUCCUCUUACGAGCCAUUUAGUUUUGCAACAACUGCAAGAUAGACAGUAUUAUUCCCAUUUUACAGAUAUGGACAUUGAAGCUCAGGAGGUACACCGGAUAUAGUGACUUUGAUCUUCUCAUUGCCCUGACACUGAUGAGAGAGAGAUAACAAAAUCAAAAAGAACAGUUGGAGGAAUAAAUGUCAAAUAUAGGAGGCUGGAAGCAUAGUCUCUAACCUCAGUCUAGCCUCGGAUAAUAGCAUUUUCAUCUUGCUACAGCAGUAGCAGACACCAGCUGGGUGCCUUCUCCCUAUUUUAUUCAUUUGUAUGUUCAUUGAGCAAUUUAUCUAUUGCUAAUUCCUUAGCAAGCAUUUACUGUGACCUUCCUUUUAUUAUUACUAUUAUUAUUAUUCAUUUUAGAGACAGGGCUAUGCCAUUAUGUUGCCUACGCUGGAGGGCAGUGGUU
RNAcentral lists this long non-coding RNA (2190 nucleotides) under Homo sapiens (human). RNAcentral's name for it is "HSALNT0153746". The record is from RNAcentral. Lineage: Eukaryota; Metazoa; Chordata; Mammalia; Primates; Hominidae.